GAUACCUUUGAUCAGCGGUUCCUUGCCCGGUCGAGUUCACUUUACUUGAGUUGAGACACGUGUGUUCGUUACAUUAAAUAAGCUUUUAGAGUAACUGCCAUUAGUCUGAGCUUGUGACCUACACAACAACACAAAGGCGUCAACAAGCUGACUUGCUCUCGCCGCAGCACCCGGACGGUGGUCUCCUGGGUGAGACCUCUGACCCAUUAAAGCUCGCCUCCCGCAAAACCCCUCGCGAGCGUCUCCUCGCUGAAGGCUCCCUGGUGCGUAUCAGACACCGAGGGCCACCGACCUCUGACUGCGCCGACGCCGCGAGAGGCACACGGAGGACGUGAAAGCGCCUGCGGGCUGACGGGAAAGCUGCGGCGUGGCCCGCCGGAAGCAGUUAAAGAGUUAGAAGAUAAUCCUGAACAAAUACUGAAAAACAACCUCCACAACUCAGGGGGGGGGUCAGAGGUCGGGAGCGACGGUAAGACCCGGAGAGGCCUUUUGUGUUUGUGCCGUUGGGAGGAUGUGGAACAGACGGCGUGCGGUGGAGCAUGUGGUCCCUGUAGGAUGUGUCCUGUGGCUCAAGGGCCCGCAGUCCUCCCAAAUCGAAGACUUGUCCAGCCGUCCUCGGUGGACAAAGAAUGCUGAACCACAGCCGCUCACUCCUCCAUCACGGCGGAGUCCUCCGCGCUGCUUCGCGUGAAGGGGAUUCGUGGCUGCGUACUGACACCCUGCGGCCGCUGACUGGUGGUGCAGGAGGUCUUCAUGAAGUCUCAUGUGCUUUAAUCAGCACUGGGGCAUUUUUAACACGCUAUUUGGAAGCUGUUCUUAACCAGUGGUGAGGCUAUUGUAUUGUUUAUUUAAAUGUAAAGGACUUUGUAUCAAUGACACAGAUGUAUUUCAGCAAUUUCUCAUCCAGGGUUUUUCAUUUGUUGGCUUUUCCUGUGCCCAUGUGACGGUUUCGGGACAAAGGAUGUCGUGUGUCCUCUGAGGCAAAUUUGUAAUUUGCGAUUUUGCGCAAAAUAAAAUGAAUUGAAUUGAAUUUGCACAGUGCCACUUACACACAGUGCAUGAUAUAUACGGUAGGAUGCACAAUUAUUUAACUCAUUUUCUAUUUACAAAUUAUCCUUGAUGUGCAUCAAAUAAUCAAGACGUCGCGAGUCAUUCAUUAGAACACAAACCAGUGGACUAAGUUGCUUGGCUCUUUUUAUUCUCUUCCCUUCAGGCUGGUGAAGAAGAUGCACUUGACAUUGAGUGGCAGCAUGAGAUGAAGGCUUUCUUUACACUGGAGGAAGCGGAAGGUGCCGCAGCAUUAACCCCUUUAACCCCAACCAAACAAACCUUUUUAAGCCCAUUGAAAAUGUGGAGUUAAAUUUACACUGCAGUGCUGACUAUGUAACAUCGUACACACACAUAGCUUGCUGAUAGAUGUUGACUGCCGUUGUUGUUGCCAUGUAUGUGUGUCUCUUCUCA
Molecule: long non-coding RNA, 1461 nt
Organism: Gasterosteus aculeatus aculeatus (three-spined stickleback)
Lineage: Eukaryota; Metazoa; Chordata; Actinopteri; Perciformes; Gasterosteidae
Source: Ensembl